RNAcentral lists this transfer RNA (73 nucleotides) under Rhodococcus (subgen. Prescottella) equi. RNAcentral's name for it is "Rhodococcus hoagii tRNA-Ala". It matches the Rfam family "tRNA". Rfam says of the family: Transfer RNA (tRNA) molecules are approximately 80 nucleotides in length. Their secondary structure includes four short double-helical elements and three loops (D, anti-codon, and T loops). Further hydrogen bonds mediate the characteristic L-shaped molecular structure. tRNAs have two regions of fundamental functional importance: the anti-codon, which is responsible for specific mRNA codon recognition, and the 3' end, to which the tRNAs corresponding amino acid is attached (by aminoacyl-tRNA synthetases). tRNAs cope with the degeneracy of the genetic code in two manners: having more than one tRNA (with a specific anti-codon) for a particular amino acid; and 'wobble' base-pairing, i.e. permitting non-standard base-pairing at the 3rd anti-codon position. Lineage: Bacteria; Bacillati; Actinomycetota; Actinomycetes; Mycobacteriales; Nocardiaceae. The record is from RNAcentral.
GGGGCCUUAGCUCAGGUGGUAGAGCGCUGCCUUUGCAAGGCAGAUGUCAGGAGUUCGAAUCUCCUAGGCUCCA